This 254-nucleotide unclassified non-coding RNA is filed under the name plant metagenome. Its description in RNAcentral is "partial contains small subunit ribosomal RNA, internal transcribed spacer 1, and 5.8S ribosomal RNA". The stretch from base 206 to 254 matches the Rfam family "5.8S ribosomal RNA", at positions 1 to 49 of the family's 154-position model. The record is from RNAcentral.
UUUCCGUAGGUGAACCUGCGGAAGGAUCAUUAAUGUGUUUGGGCCUCACGGCUCUUCAUUCCGACGCUGUGCGCCUUCGGGCUGCACGCUAAGGGAGCAUAUAUCCACCCCUGUGCACACACACGGUGGCGAGCUGGGUAACGGCUCGCCGCUGAUCUUUACACACGUCUAAAAGUCAUUGUAUGUUUAUUUGAGAUAAAAACACAACUUUCAGCAACGGAUCUCUUGGCUCUCGCAUCGGUGAAGAACGCAGC